CCUACGGGAGGCAGCAGUGGGGAAUAUUGCACAAUGGGGGAAACCCUGAUGCAGCGACGCCGCGUGAGUGAAGAAGUAUCUCGGUACGUAAAGCUCUGUCAGCAGGGAAGAAAAUGACGGUACCUGACUAAGAAGCCCCGGCUAACUACGUGCCAGCAGCCGCGGUAAU
RNAcentral lists this ribosomal RNA (169 nucleotides) under uncultured bacterium. RNAcentral's name for it is "partial 16S ribosomal RNA". It matches the Rfam family "Bacterial small subunit ribosomal RNA", at positions 338 to 524 of the family's 1533-position model. The record is from RNAcentral.